AAGUGCGAAAACGAAGGAAAAUAAAUGGAUUAGGGAAAAAUCAAGAAAAAGAAAAAGAAGAGAAAGAUGGAAAAACUUAGAGAAUUUCGGCAAGAGGAAAUGGAGAAUAAUAAACGGUAAAAUGUUUCUGGAAAAGGGAGUCAAAUUUCGGAUAUGGGAAAAAAUAAAAUAAAAUCUCGAUAACCCCCAAAAUCUCUUAAUCUUCUCCCCCAAUUCCCACUACACAUCCACUACUCAGAAUCCCCCUAUUACACAAAUCUAUCCCGAAAUCUGAGCAAAAAAAAGUAAUACCCCUACCUACAUAAGGAUUCGAACACAAGACCUCCACCAUAAUAACACACCAUUUAACC
This 350-nucleotide long non-coding RNA is filed under the name Gossypium raimondii (Peruvian cotton). RNAcentral describes it as "long non-coding RNA (GRAI_LNC010965)". The record is from RNAcentral. Lineage: Eukaryota; Viridiplantae; Streptophyta; Magnoliopsida; Malvales; Malvaceae.